RNAcentral lists this long non-coding RNA (204 nucleotides) under Panax ginseng (ginseng). RNAcentral describes it as "long non-coding RNA (PGIN_LNC001445)". The record is from RNAcentral. Lineage: Eukaryota; Viridiplantae; Streptophyta; Magnoliopsida; Apiales; Araliaceae.
UGUGCAUGCGCGCUAAACAAGAUGAGACAAAUUAAUAACAAAUCCCUCAAAUUUUUUAUAUUAAAUCUUAAGCGUUCAAAGAUAUUUGGAAUAUCGAACGUCGCCUUCUAGCAUGAUAAAAAAUAAUAGAGUAUCAAUUAAUUAUUAUAAGUUUGUUGUGUCACCACAAGGCUUAUCUUAAUUCUUUGAGAUGUUAAUUUUAUC